This 596-nucleotide long non-coding RNA is filed under the name Salmo salar (Atlantic salmon). RNAcentral describes it as "lncRNA (ENSSSAG00000116889.1)". The record is from RNAcentral. Lineage: Eukaryota; Metazoa; Chordata; Actinopteri; Salmoniformes; Salmonidae.
GAUACUUCCCAUUCUGCACAAUUGUGACCUUUGACCCCUUGCACGUGGUCUUAAAUGUCCACAUUCUGGAUGACAUCCUGCCAGACUUUGUUGGUAUUUCACUGUUUGAUCUAGCAUGUGACUGUUUUCCCCCCCAGCACUUGUCCCAUGUUGGCUGGCCCACUAUGCAGUUAAAUGGAAAGGUUUUUCCCCAGCACUUGUCCCAUGUUGGCUGGCCCACUAUGCAGUUAAAUGGAAAGGUUUUUCCCCCAUCACUUGUCCCAUGUUGGCUGGCCUACUAUGCAGUUAAAUGGAAAGGUUUCUCCCCAGCACUUGUCCCAUGUUGGCUGGCCCACUAUGCAGUUAAAUGGAAAGGUUUCUCCCCAGCACUUGUCCCAUGUUGGCUGGCCCACUAUGCAGUUAAAUGGAAAGGUUCUACAGAUGUAGACGUGACAUGUGAAUUGGGAUGAGGGGAAAUGACAAUCAAUGACAACUGAAAUAGCAAACAUUAUCUGUAUAUCGCUAUAUUUGUUCUUGUAGAUGUACUUUGAAUAUGUUUAAUAUGUGGGGGAAGCAUUUCAUUUGUAGUCUUUCUUAAUUUGUCGUUUUGAGUGGCC